UAAAAUAAUAUUUCAACACAAUAUCCAAAAUAUUUAAAUACAAUUUCCAUUCGAUUUCACUAAAACGAUUUCAUCGAAUUUUCAAACAAACGACAAUCUUCCCUUUCUACCUUCCCCCUCUCUCUCUCAUCUACCUUCUUCCUUUUCGUCUCUUCUUCCUGAGCGCGGAUAAUUCGAAGCGAUAAGCCCCUCGUCGAUGAGAGGGUUUAUCGUCGGAGGGGCCUGUCGUCGUCGACGGUCUCUAGCUGAGAUUCAAAGACAAAGAAGGAAAAAGAGGAGUAGAGUGAAAGAGAGAAGUAGAAUUCGCACGGUUGCGUAAGUAAAGCAGCAACUCGAAAGAGGAGGAUCGUGAGCUUUAAGCCGACUGCUCGUAAAUCGCGCUCGUCCGUGUCCUCGACGAUUGGCUCGCGCAAUCGAUCCGAAAACGAGGAGAAGUUUCUGCAGAAGGUUCCUCGAGAAUAACACCAGCUGUAUGUUGGAAAUGCGUGAAGGAAGUCGAAAGGAAGGGGACGAUUAGGAUAAAUAUAGCAGAGACACGAUUCGUUAUCGCUGACGGAUAAAAGUGUGAAACUACUACUACUAAUAGAGAGAAACAGUUUCCCGAGAAUCAGGAGAUUCUCGAGGUCGUUUCUCGAUUCGCCAGAAGCAAGUUUCUCUGCAUCAAGGUCCAUUCUUCGUAGCGAACACGUUUUUUGUCUGGCCACCCGUCGUCCCUGCACACUAGCCAGGACACGACGCGUCUGAAAAGCGAGUGAUUCAAGCUUGAAUCCAGCGCGCCGCAUCGAUCAUCAUCAUCAUGCUCGAAUAACAUUUAUGCCUUCCUACGGCGGUAACCGUGCAAUACCAAUUUGUCGUCGAGUCAAUUUAGCUGGAACGAUUUUCGACAUCCUUGGGAUUUUUCAUUGUUCCUGAAAUUGCUGAUUCUUCCCAGACUUUCUAAACGUGACCUAUAUUCUAUUAUAUUAUAAACAAUUCCAAUGCUCUCUAUCAUAUUCUCAACGUUCGAUAUCCACAGUAUCCAAUUUCAUGAGUCCUGUAUUACCAGUAUCGAGUUUCACGACUCUGAAGAUGUCAGCAAUAAAAAUAUUUUGUGAAAUGAAAUGAAAUGUGUGAAAUGAAUACCACAUCAAAAUCAAAUCCAUUAAUCGUCAGAGGUGCUAAAUCAUCAUUUGCCAAAUAAAAGAAGAAAAGAGAAAUACCUAUAGGGGUUAAACGGCUCCGUAAAUUGUGAAAAUUGAACGAUCGUCGAAACGUUGGAAAUUAGAAGACAGUUGAAGGGGCGGGAAGCCUCUGAAGAGCAAGGUGAAGGUAAUACCGAAGGACCCUCCUCGUCCUUCGGGAGUGUCUUGGAGCAGAAGACAGCAGGGCACUCUAACGAACUUAUCCCGAAGGCUGAGUGCUGCCUCCGGCGAGCAGAAGAUAUACGAGAAUUCCUCUUCGCUUCACCAAUGUCUAUACAGGGUGGAGUAUAAUUAUUAUCAUAAAAUAAAACUCGCCUGUUAGAAAAAAAGAAAAUAGAUCUUGAUUGACUUACUAUUAUCAUGUUUGUUAAUGUUAUGUCUUUCCAUUGUGAUCUAAUAAUAUCUAAAUCUCUGACACAACUGAAAAAUGAUUAUGGCUUCUCUGUCUAGGGAACAUGAACUGUAUGGCUUGGCUUCAAUUCAGUUUCCAUGGUGAAAUGUAUUAUUAUAUGUUAACAUGCUAUUAUGUUUAGUUGUAUCAAUAAAUAUCUCAUGUUUAAAACUAA
RNA transcript from Apis mellifera (honey bee), 1747 nucleotides. RefSeq lists it as uncharacterized. The transcript is spliced from 4 exons. Lineage: Eukaryota; Metazoa; Arthropoda; Insecta; Hymenoptera; Apidae. The record is from RefSeq and is a predicted model, not a curated record.